This 484-nucleotide ribosomal RNA is filed under the name uncultured bacterium. RNAcentral describes it as "partial 16S ribosomal RNA". It matches the Rfam family "Bacterial small subunit ribosomal RNA", at positions 28 to 507 of the family's 1533-position model. The record is from RNAcentral.
GGUGAACGCUGGCGGCAGGCCUAACACAUGCAAGUCGAGCGGCAGCGGGUCCUUCGGGCUGCCGGCGAGCGGCGGACGGGUGAGGAAUGCGUCGGAAUCUGCCUUUUUGUGGGGGAUAACGUAGGGAAACUUACGCUAAUACCGCAUACGACCUACGGGUGAAAGUGGGGGACCGCAAGGCCUCACGCAGAAAGAUGAGCCGACGUCGGAUUAGCUAGUUGGCGGGGUAAAGGCCCACCAAGGCGACGAUCCGUAGCUGGUCUGAGAGGAUGAUCAGCCACACUGGAACUGAGACACGGUCCAGACUCCUACGGGAGGCAGCAGUGGGGAAUAUUGGACAAUGGGCGCAAGCCUGAUCCAGCCAUGCCGCGUGUGUGAAGAAGGCCUUCGGGUUGUAAAGCACUUUUGUCCGGAAAGAAAUCCUGUCGGCUAAUACCCGGCGGGGAUGACGGUACCGGAAGAAUAAGCACCGGCUAACUUCGUG